This 358-nucleotide long non-coding RNA is filed under the name Mytilus galloprovincialis (Mediterranean mussel). The record is from RNAcentral. Lineage: Eukaryota; Metazoa; Mollusca; Bivalvia; Mytilida; Mytilidae.
CCGGUAGAUUUUGCCUGGAGUUAGAAACAUAUCUGCCAACUUUUCAAAAUGCACAUGGGGGUUUUACGUGAAAGAUGGUUCAUAUAGUCAUACAAAACCUUCAAGGGGCCUUCAAAUGGAAGCAGGACAAGUCGCCCCACUGGCUAAUCGCCCACUUUUAAAAAAAACGCCACAAACUGAUUUAUCAAAUCGCCCCACAUGUGAAAUUGGUUAAAUCAUGUUAAAUAUUACUCCUGCCAACCCGCCCUACUUAUAAAAAAAACGGUAAUAUUUAGAUUAAUAUAUAUAUAUAUAUAUAUAAUUAAAAAUAAAAAACUCGCACCACUUUAAUGAAAACUAAUCUACACAGAAUACAAAC